Molecule: long non-coding RNA, 3199 nt
Filed under: Malus domestica (apple)
Lineage: Eukaryota; Viridiplantae; Streptophyta; Magnoliopsida; Rosales; Rosaceae
Description: long non-coding RNA (MDOM_LNC002390)
Source: RNAcentral
CCGCGAAGCUGUCGGAUUGAUGCUGUAAUUGAUGGGAAUAGCACACGAGUCCAGGUUUGAGAUUGACUCGUAUGAAUCUAAGAUAUUGUAAUUUUGGAAGGACCCAAUUGAAAAAAAAAAUCCGAAAUGUUGUAUGAUGUUUGCAAAUGGUGUGCUGUAGCUGUAAUUAGUACUAUCCAGAAACAAUGUCAAUCGAAUUUGUAUUGUAAAAUUGCUGUUUUACACUAUCUGGUUCUGGUUUCUGUAUUAUCUAAUAAAGUGUGGUGUGGGGAAAUUUCACUAAGACAUUAUCCACCUCUAUAAAGCUAAGGCUCGCGAACUUCGGCAGCUUUCAUACAUUAUACUUUACCUUGCUCGUGCUAUUUAUAAAGAGAGCGUGUUGUCAAUUAUAUAAGAAAGUCUCAUACUUUAAUCCAUUCGAGUGUUCAUUGAUCGAUUAGAAUAGAUACUAUACUUGAUGUUAAUGAAAGGGCCGAGAGAGGAUUUUAUGAAACGCACAUUUAGAACGUCGAAGGUUGGGAUACACGCUUGCAUGCACAAACAUAAGGAUCAUUUGUCUGUUUAUGGUGAUGGAUUUUCUGUGUUUUUUCGCAGUUAGGGAUAAUGGAAAUUGUUGUUUGCUAUGGCUGCUGGUUUAUGGUUAAUCGAGUUUGCGAUUAAAGCCCAAUAUAGAUAAUUUUUCUCUAAAUGCCCACAUGGACAUGUGUAACCAAUGCUGCUGUCGUAUCCUAUGAACUAAUGUUUGUUGACGAGUGUUAGGGCAUAUGGAAGGGAGUGUUGUGAUACCAUUCAUGUUACUGCUAUUUGAGAUGUGGAUUCUUUGUCUUCUCUUUUGCAUGCUUGCUAUGUGACUAUUUAGGCCAAGAGUCUACAUUUCUGGUAUUCUGGUUGCAGCUUGUAAUGUGUAAUCUUUUUCCAUCAAAUGAAUUGGAAUAUGACGCUUUUGUAGAGUGGUUUGCUCAUUAAUGCUUCUCUCCUUGUAUCUUCCCCUUUGUGUCUGUGUUGCCGACCUCAAAUCUGAUAGCUGUUGUUCCCUUAGUUGAUGUCUUCUGUGUUGAAAAUAGUAAUGUCUUUGUUGCAAUGAGCUCUUUCAAUCUUCAACUUCACGAGUUUCGGAUCAUUUGACUUGAGAUCAUCCGAAAGAUGAAUGCUUAGAUUUUUCAUAUUCGUGAGUUUAUGACGCAUUUCUAUUAAGUUGGAUCGCCAUUCUCUUUUCUUUCGCAAUCACCAUUUCGUCUUCAUUACAUUACUGUGAUGUAAUGUUUAUCUGAGGAUAAUGUGAAGAACAUGAACCAACUAACCAAGUGUAGAUGACAAACUUAAGGAUAAUGUUAGACCUACUUGAGCUUACUGACAGAUAAUUGACUUUGUAUGUGCAACUUAUCACUAGCAUGGGCUUGUAUUUUCUGUCGAAAAAUUGUUUCGUGACGUCUCUACCGCGAAAUAGGGGGUUAGCUUGGCAAUUCUAUAUGGUAUCUUAAGAUUUGGAUGGCCUGGAUUUCAGUUUCUGUAAUGGUAGCAGUAAGUAAACUCAUUAUGUACCUGACAUUGGUAUUGUACUUUCAUUCCUUGACGAGCUGUUGGGGGAGGUCCAUCAACGAAAAUUCAAUGGUUCCCGGAGCAUCCUAUACUCUUGGGUUUUUUACCGUUAGAUAUUUGAUUAAUAUAUCGUUGAAGGACUCGGCCAACAAUCUACAUGGAAACUAUGGAGUGAAUACUCACAUUUGAGUAGCCUAGUUUUUGUGCUUUAAUUGUGCUAGGUUUCCUGACUUGGGGAUUUGAAUAUAUUGUUUUCUUGUGCUUUUGGGUUCAUUAUUUCUCCUGAUUGGCCAACUUGUUGACGAAAUAUUAGGCUGCUAUUGGUAACUGAUGGGUGAGAACACGACCUGACGCACCGUUCUCACCGACACACCAAAUUUCAUAAAAUAAUUGACUAAUACUAAAAUUAAAAAAUAACAAAUUUUUAAUUAAUUAUUUUAUGACACUUAAUUUAUUGAAUCGUAUUUUCGGUAUAUUGAAAACUUUCUUAGAGUGGUUAGAUGAUGCAUUCAAGGGGACGGACUUCUUUUUUUGAUUGUAAGUGGAUGGAUUAGCCAAGAGUGGAAUAAAUCAAUUAAUGGACUCAUUCCCAAGGAGGAUGUGACACAUUCAAAUGAUCCAUCCAUCCACAACUUGAUUGAUUCAACUCCCUCUCCCUUAAAUAAAUUCAGAAUAAUGCUCGUUAGGAACGGUGGUCAACUUUUAUCAAGAUAAGAGCAAGUCCACCCUUAAAAAAAUACAUCAAUAUUCAGUCUAUUUAAUCCACUCAAUGAACAGUGAUAUAUCCCAAUGAAUAGUAAUAGGUUAAAUGCAUAUUCAUUCUUAAAAAAUGCAUUGGCACAAAGUUUAAAAAAUACGAUGGCACAAACGAUAUCCAUUCCUACAAAAUGCGCCGUCACCCACCUCAUUUAAAAUAAUAUUAAAUUUUUUAUAAAAUAAUAAAUAAAAAAUAGUUUUAAUUUCAAAUAUGAUUUUUAACUAAUCUCGUCACGCCACGUUUCAUUAUUAUAAUAAAAUUACAUAAACUCAAUAAAUAAACUUAAAAAAACACACUAAAUAAACUAAGAACUUAAUUGUUCCACCACAAGCUCCUUUUAAUUAUCUUGACCUUGUUGCAAUCCCCAUUGGUGUUCAAUCAAUUCUUCCUUGAGAUUGACCAAUUCUUCCUGUUGUGCCAACUAUCUUUUCUGUUGCUCCUCAAAUUGUUUAUACAUUUUUCUUGAAGAAGACAUUGUAAGAACUCAAGAUUUGAAAACGAUGAAGGACUCUCAGCUAAAAAGAAGGAUUGAUUUCGGUGUGAGGCAUUUGUCGUCGCCGGCGACAGCGAAGCUGUCGGAUUGAUGCUGUAAUUGAUGGGAAUAGCACACGAGUCCAGGUUUGAGGUUGACUCGUAUGAAUCUAAGAUGAUGUAAUUUUGGAAGGACCCAAUUGAAAGAAAAAAAAUCCGAAAUGUUGUAUGAUGUUUGCAAAUGGUGUGCUGUAGCUGUAAUUACUACCAUUCAGAAACAAUGUCAAUCCAAUUUGUAUUGUAAAAUUGCUAUUUUACACCAUCUGGUUCUGGUUUCUGUAUUAUCUAAUAAAGUGUGGUGUGGGGAAAUUUCACUAAGACAUUAUCCACCUCUAUAAAGCUAAGGCUCGCGAACUUCGGCAGCUUUCAUAA